This 4159-nucleotide long non-coding RNA is filed under the name Oryza brachyantha (malo sina). RNAcentral's name for it is "long non-coding RNA (OBRA_LNC001875)". The record is from RNAcentral. Lineage: Eukaryota; Viridiplantae; Streptophyta; Magnoliopsida; Poales; Poaceae.
UCCCUCCUGGUCGUCGCCCUCCGCCCCCCGUUCGCCGGCGCCGGCCCGCCGCCCUCUCCGCCCCCGUUCGCCGACCAGUCGUAUGUACGUGCAUUCACAUAUCUUGCUUGAUGAGCACAUAAGCAUUGUGUGACCUUUAAUUAAUUAAUUAUCCUCACGACAGAAAGAACAAACAGACUAUAUGGAGUCAUUGACUCCCUCCCAUUUUUGUAUGGUAAUUGCUGAAUCAGAAAUUCACCUGAAUUUGGGCAUUCUUGAUUUUGAUUUGCUGGCAUUUGAUAUAAGAUACAGUGCAAUUGUGUAUAGACAUAAUUGCUGAAUGGAGUAGUCAACUAAAAUUUUGGUUGCUCCAAGCAUUUCUGAAAGAACCGGUUACCCUGUAUUUAAAUUAAGCUAAUAAGUACAUCUGAAAACAAAUAUACAAGAAUGCCAGAAAUUUGCAAGAGUAAGAAGCAUUUUUUUCCAUACCUUAAAUUUAAAUGCAAAAGUGAUAUCUGAACUGUCAAUCCGAAGCAUUACUCUCCGGAGCUUAUCUUUAUUUAAGUUGCUCCAAGCAUUUCUGAAAGAACCGGUUACCCUGUAUUUAAAUUAAGCUAAUAAGUACAUCUGAAAACAAAUAUACAAGAAUGCCAGGAAUUUGCAAGAGUAAGAAGCAUUUUUUCCAUACCUUAAAUGCAAAAGUGAUAUCUGAACUGUCAAUCUGAAGCAUUACUCUCUAGAGCUUAUCUUCUUUGGAUUGCCCUAGCUUCAUGAAUCCCUACAACAUAAAUUCCACAAAUACUUGAAACAUUUUUUUUCCAUUUUGGAUUAGCCUAGCUUCAUAAAACACAGGUGUUUUGCAUACCUGAUCGCUUAAUACGAGUAUUAGGCAUGAAAAUUCAAGCAUUCAAACUGUAUGAUUUGUUGAUCUGCAAAUUUCUAUGUAUGAUUUGUUGAGCUGCAAAAUGGCAUUAAAUUAGAUAGUUUAGAGUAAUGAGGUCGAGUGUAGUCUGAGUUUCUGUGAGUAGUCUGAUGCUGAUGCUGAUGCAAAUCCUGCAUUUGGGGGCUGUUUAGUUCCAAAAAAUUUUCACCCAAAAACAUCACAUCGAAUCUUUGGAUACCUAAAUAGAAUAUUAAACGUAGACAAAACGAAAAACUAAUUGCACAGUUAUGUGAGAAAUCGUGAAACGAAUCUUUUGAGCCUAAUUAGUACAUGAUUAGCCAUAAGUGCUACAGUAAUCAAUAUGCGCUAAUGGCGGAUUAAUUAGGCUCAAAAGAUUCGUCUCGUGGUUUCCAGGCGAAAUCUGAAAUUUAUUUUAUAAUUAGACCACGUUUAAUACUUCAAAUGUGAGUUUAAAGUUUUGAUGUGAUGUUUUUGCAAAAUCUUUUUGCAAACUAAACAAGGCCUUGAUAUGGCUGGCUGCUCUGCUCUGCUUGCUGCUGCUGCAGCAUCACCACUUGCUCAAGCUGGACCACUCUACAAACUGUUUCGUCUCAGUGGCUACGUGUUGCAUGAUAACCGUAGAGUUUCAAGUUUUGUUUCUUUCAUGUGAUCAGUAGUGGGACUGACUUUCUUGUUCUGGGACCAAUUUGAAGGGAUCAUGGUUAAAGUUUUAAAAUCAAUACAGGUGUUAAAUUGCAACACAAUUACUAAUUAGAAAACACAAAUUAAUCUUACAGUUUCCCUGUUAGCUUCACCAUAGUCCAUUGCAAGCCAGGUAUAUUUCUUUGCAUAACAUUUAAAGAUCUUGCGAUCUGACCAAUGGUUAUUGGUUUUGUCAUGGAACUUCCCCUCAAAUUCAUAUACUGCUUGUUCACGUGAUGGAGAGGGAUCAUGUAGCUUGUCCCCGUGCACCUACCCUCCCCCAUCUAUUGUAAACCAUGAAGCUUCCACCAACAUCAGAUUCUAAAAUUAACACAUCAGUUAAUGAUCUAUCAAACACUAUACAUUAUUCAGAGAUUGAAAAAUUGAAAGUAUGCACCCAGAAUACAUUUUAUGAAGAGUUUUACUUCCAUCCUUCCUUUUGUAUCUCGAGGUACCGGUACCUCGCGGUACCAAAUCGUUUCUGAUCGUUGGAUCCAACAGUGCACAUCCUACUUACUAGAUCCAAUGGUAAGAAACAAUUUGGUACCUCGAGGUACCGGUACCUCGAGGUACAAAAGGAAGUAUGAAAGUAAAACUCUUUUAUGAAUGGUGCAUUUGAUCUUCUAAAAGAAGCGUACUCAAUUCUGUGAAAUAAGCAGGUAAUUAUCAAAGUAAGAUAGCCUCAUGGAUCAAAUUCAUAUAACUCAACUGUUAGAAGAGAGGGAAUGUCAUUCUGAUCUCAACUGAUCAAAGAGAUAGAGGAGAGAGUUGUUGAAGAAACCUAAGGCUUGGAUGAUAUAGAACUUAUUAUUGUCAUCUCCGACAUUAGUCUGGUUCAUGGUGGAAUCAUAGAUCUCAUCACCCUGCAAUAGAAAUCAAUAGUUAGUAAAAGGCAUAGAUAAAGGCAUAAAGAACAGCGGUUUAUAAAGGUAUAAAUGAUGAAAUUAUAAUGUGAAGAGAAGACCAUGAGAUAAGCACUCUACCUACAGUCAAUACUGAAUACAUAAAUUAGGGACUCGAUCAUGUGCUUUCCAUAGACUAAUCUUUAAAUACAGUCAAUACUGAAUACAUAAAUUAGGGACUCGAUCAUGUGCUUUCCAUAGACUAAUCUUUAAAUACAGUCAAUACUGAAUACAUAAAUUAGGGACUCGAUCAUGUGCUUUCCAUAGACUAAUCUUUAAAUACAGUCAAUACUGAAUACAUAAAUUAGGGACUCGAUCAUGUGCUUUCCAUAGACUAAUCUUUAAAUACAGUCAAUACUGAAUACAUAAAUUAGGGACUCGAUCAUGUGCUUUCCAUAGACUAAUCUUUAAAUACAGUCAAUACUGAAUACAUAAAUUAGGGACUCGAUCAUGUGCUUUCCAUAGACUAAUCUUUAAAUACAGUCAAUACUGAAUACAUAAAUUAGGGACUCGAUCAUGUGCUUUCCAUAGACUAAUCUUUAAAUACNNNNNNNNNNNNNNNNNNNNNNNNNNNNNNNNNNNNNNNNNNNNNNUCAACUUAAUUUUAACGCCCUUCUUCUUAAUUUUCCUUAUUAAUUAACUAAGACUGAUGUUUGUUUUGAUCUUUAGAGGUAUUGCAAUUGCACAGCAAAUAGUUGGUUUUUUUGGUUUGAUACGGUAUCAUAUUUUUGUUGAUGUGGAUGGGAAUUUUUGUGCUUUUCUUUUUUGGUUGAAAUUGGGAAUCCAGAGUACAAUGUAGCUGCUGCCAACCUAUUGGUAAUUUUCCAAACUAUCCAGAGUAAAAUGCGAAUUUUACAGGUAUUCUUUGGGCGGCAAGGAUAACAAAUCAGUUACAAGCAUUAAGACCCAGUUUGGAUUCCUAUGGACAUUUUUUAAGUCCUUGUCACAUCGAAUGUUUGGAUACUAAUUAGAAGUAUUAAAUAUAGACUAUUAAUAAAACCCACCCCAUACUCUAGACUAUUUCACGAGACGAAUCUAUUAAGCCUAAUUAGUGCAUGAUUAGCGAAUGUGAUGCUACAGUAAACAUUUGCUAAUCGUGGAUUAGUUAGGCUUAAAAAAUUUGUCUAAUGAAAUAGCCUUUAUUUAUGUAAUUAGUUUUGUUAUCGGUCUAUAUUUAAUACUCCUAAUUAACGUUCAAAUAUCCGAUGUUACAAUAGACUAAAAAAAGUCCCAGAUCAAAACAGCCACUAAGUUUUCAGAAUGCUUGUUUAUUCUUGCCGUCAUUUUGGUAUGGUUGACUGAUAUCACUCGUUGCUUGCAGCAGGAUGAAAUCAGGUUCAAAGCUGGAAACCACACAGGAGCAUUUGUACUUCUAAGAUGAGAAAGUAGAGUCGUAUUGCCUUUUGGCUUUUGAAGUCACUCAUGUACGGUGUUACAGAAAACCGCAAUGUGUUACAAUGCAUCAUGAAUAACUAUUGCUUGGAGAUUUUGCUGUUGCACAUUUUUCACACAAUCUUGCCAUUACAGAACUUAAAUCUCGACCACUCUUCAAUGAUCUCUUCUUUAUGUGCCAAUCUUGUAGCGCAAGCAAGCUGAUAUGCCGACACGGCAUAAAACUUCUAUUGAAGUUGUACAAGCUCGAUUAAGAUGGUGAUUGGUUGCAUUUGUAUAGAACAAAAUCAAACGAUAAACG